AUAGCUCCAUCCUUCCUCAGCAUCCUUUUUGGCCUUAGGUGUUCUUCGAGUCGUCCCCAUCUCUGCAUCUCUUCAUCCCUGCAUCCUUCGGACCAGCCUAGGUUAGUUCCAGAACUCCCCUCCUUGUUUUUUCUCUUGUUGUUCUUCUUUUGUUUUUCUUCUGUCACAUUCCAUCUGUUCGGUUUUCCACAAACUUUCCGUUUCUUAUUUCUCUCAAUUUUUUC
Molecule: long non-coding RNA, 224 nt
Filed under: Elaeis guineensis (African oil palm)
Lineage: Eukaryota; Viridiplantae; Streptophyta; Magnoliopsida; Arecales; Arecaceae
Description: long non-coding RNA (EGUI_LNC055008)
Source: RNAcentral